Patella vulgata (common limpet) is the source of this 2410-nucleotide long non-coding RNA. RefSeq lists it as uncharacterized. The record is from RefSeq and is a predicted model, not a curated record. The transcript has 4 exons. NCBI's taxonomy places the organism in Eukaryota, Metazoa, Mollusca, Gastropoda, Patellidae.
GCUGUGUAAAAUAGAAAUAUUCGAAACUAAAUUUCAUAUCGAUGUUUCAAGAUGGCUGCCUUCAGAACCAAAAAUUUUUUGUAUCCGCGAAAUGUCUUGCGUAUUAUUGAAAUUUUGUUAAGUAUUUUGGCAUUUUCUCUGAUUGCUAGCUGGAAAAAUCAUGGAUUGGGAUAUCUUAGCUUAAAUAAGGAUGAUUACAAUAUAAUCAACAAUGUCAAUUUUUUUCUGGGUGUGUCUGUCCUGACAUUUAUGGCUGCCAUUGCUAUGUGUACAUUAAUCCUCUUCAAUUCUUCAUUCAUAUCUCCAUUGAUGGAUUUGUUGAUUAAUGGUAUUCUAGGUGUAUUGUUGUCUUUGGCUACUAUUAUUUUAUGUGUAGCAAUGACAGAGGUUUCAAAAUCUGUUCCAGUUCAGGAAGCCAAUUUAUCGUUUUCACAUUUCGAAAUUGCUGUGGCUGUUGGGUUUAUGUGUGCAGUAUCUUUACUGGGUAGUACUUGGUAUGCCUUUAGAAUUCACAUAAAGAGGAGUGAAUUACCAUUGAAUAUGUCCCGGUCUAAUGCUGAUCUACCAGAAGAUAUCCCCACGUAGUCUGUGAUACCCUAAUAUUGCACCCAUUAUUUAAUCUAAAUUAGUUGUGAUGUGACCAAUGAAACGUUUUGGUUUUUUAUUGUGUUGUGUUAUCCUAGUCAGGAAAAUAUACAUUCCUUAUAAAUAUCAUAUCAAAUCAUUAUAACAUAAUUAUGAAUCUCAUUUUAAUAUUUAUUAUAGUAGUUGUACUAAAUCAUACAUUCUAGUCACCUAUAUAUCUUUUUAUGCUAAUAUUUAGGUCUCAAAUUGUUAUUUAUUUGACAACUGUUGUUAAUUAAAGUCCACUUCAAAGUUGAUCAAUUAAAAAUAUUUGAAAUGUUAUCAAAAAUCUUAAUUGGUCUCCGAAGUUAGGGAGGGUAAUGGCAAAGUAGGAUAGAAACUUUAUCUUUAUACCCCUCUCAAGUAGUUCGUGGAAUUAUAUAUGACCGUUAUCCCAUUUUAAUAAUGUAUACACAGUUGUAAUUAGAUUGUGAUAAUAGAUGAAUUGAUGAUUCGUUGAAAUACUUAGAGGUAUAGAAUAUCAAAUUAGUUUCUAUCAUCAGAUAUGAAAGUUUAUUCAUGCAAACCUUUUGGUAUUUGAAAUUAAAUAAGGAAUGGGGGAUUAACUAUGUAUCAUCCUGACUUCAGGUAUUAUUAAAGAGUAUACAUAUGUAGAUUAAUAAUACAUCAUAAAUCAUAUUAUAUUGUUGCAUUAAUAUAUUAGGAAUUGACAGUUUUUGUAUCACUAUUUUCAAUGUACAUAAGUGUAGGAGAUUUAAAAUUUUCACUUUUUCUAUACAAUAUAGUUUAAUAUCCUGAACAUUUUUUAUAUACCAUUUUGUUUUUUACAGUUUUCAUGUUGAAACUGUUUAAAGAUACAUUAUGUAAGAUUUAGAUAAUUCUUGCUAUAAUAAUUCGAAAAUAGAUAUGUAAAAUGAAUAAUUUGAAAAUUUCAUUCCAAUUACUCUAUUGCGAGCGAAGAUAUUAGCCUUUAAAAGGUUUGACAAGACGUGUGCAAAAAUUGCACUGUACUGGUUGUGCGAGGCUAAGUCUCGCUCCUCCAUUUUUAAAUUAAAUUAAAAUAUGGCUGAACCGUUCUAAUCUAUUUAAUAUCGGAGAAAUCCCAUGCCAUCAAGAGUUGAUUAUGCCUGGAUCAGUUAAUUAAUGUCUAAUUAAUCAUUUAGAAAACAUUUCAGGCUUAAAGAAAGACCUGCAAUAGGCAGAUUUGCAUAAUGUAUGUUUAAUAAUCUGUUACAAGUUAUUUACAAUGUAUGGCUUUUGAAUAAGGUUUUUUCCAUCAAAAUCCAACUAACAUGGUACUUAUGAAAUGCUUCAAACAAAUUGUGAUUUGGAUAGAACCCUGUUUUAUUUGACUUUAAAGGCAUUCUAUGAACUAACUUAUAUUCAAGAAUUUAUGAUUGAAAUAGAGCUGCUACUUUAUAAUACAUGAUGAAAAAUAGGUUUAUGAAUAUUUAUAUUAAAAUUGAAGGGCAACACAUUACACAUUAGAUAUGACAUUGAUGAAAAUACAGAACAUUUUUACAUUUGUGAUAUUUUUAUGCACAAAAAAAUUUGAGCUGCAUUUGAAAUUGUUGAAACUGAAAAUAUUGUAUUUAUUAUGCCUAAUUCUAUCCCAUACCAUAUACGGUCCAGGUCCAUGCCCAUACGGUCCAUGCCCAUACGUAAGCUUUCAUUCAUCUUUGUUUUUACUAACAAGAAAUUGUUGUUAUUAAUAUGUUUAUUUGGGUUUGUUUUAGAGAACAUGGACCACACAUUUUGCAUAGCAUAGUGUGAUCUGCACAUUUGCUUUAAUAUAUUCAAGAUAUUAAAUAUAUUUUUUAUUUUA